RNAcentral lists this unclassified non-coding RNA (269 nucleotides) under uncultured fungus. Its description in RNAcentral is "partial contains 5.8S ribosomal RNA, internal transcribed spacer 2, and large subunit ribosomal RNA". The stretch from base 1 to 52 matches the Rfam family "5.8S ribosomal RNA", at positions 103 to 154 of the family's 154-position model. Lineage: Eukaryota; Fungi. The record is from RNAcentral.
AACGCACAUUGCGCCCGCCAGUAUUCUGGCGGGCAUGCCUGUCCGAGCGUCAUUUCAACCCUCGAACCCCUCCGGGGGGUCGGCGUUGGGGAUCGGCCAGCUCCCUCGCGGGGCGGCCGGCCCCGAAAUACAGUGGCGGUCUCGCCGCAGCCUCUCCUGCGCAGUAGUUUGCACACUCGCAUCGGGAGCGCGGCGCGUCCAAUGCCGUAAAACACCCAACUCUCUGAAAUGUUGACCUCGGAUCAGGUAGGAAUACCCGCUGAACUUAA